AUUGAACGCUGGCGGCAUGCCUUACACAUGCAAGUCGAACGGUAACAGGUCUUCGGAUGCUGACGAGUGGCGAACGGGUGAGUAAUACAUCGGAACGUGCCUAGUAGUGGGGGAUAACUACUCGAAAGAGUGGCUAAUACCGCAUGAGAUCUACGGAUGAAAGCAGGGGAUCGCAAGACCUUGUGCUACUAGAGCGGCCGAUGGCAGAUUAGGUAGCUGGUGGGAUAAAAGCUUACCAAGCCGACGAUCUGUAGCUGGUCUGAGAGGACGAUCAGCCACACUGGGACUGAGACACGGCCCAGACUCCUACGGGAGGCAGCAGUGGGGAAUUUUGGACAAUGGGCGCAAGCCUGAUCCAGCAAUGCCGCGUGCAGGAUGAAGGCCUUCGGGUUGUAAACUGCUUUUGUACGGAACGAAAAGCCCUGGGUUAAUACCCUGGGGUCAUGACGGUACCGUAAGAAUAAGCACCGGCUAACUACGUGCCAGCCGCCGCCGUAA
Molecule: ribosomal RNA, 498 nt
Filed under: uncultured bacterium
Lineage: Bacteria
Description: partial 16S ribosomal RNA
Rfam family: Bacterial small subunit ribosomal RNA
Source: RNAcentral